This 468-nucleotide ribosomal RNA is filed under the name uncultured bacterium. RNAcentral describes it as "partial 16S ribosomal RNA". It matches the Rfam family "Bacterial small subunit ribosomal RNA", at positions 28 to 507 of the family's 1533-position model. The record is from RNAcentral.
GACGAACGCUGGCGGCGUGCUUAACACAUGCAAGUCGAACGGAAAGGCCCUGCUUUUGUGGGGUGCUCGAGUGGCGAACGGGUGAGUAACACGUGAGUAACCUGCCCUUGACUUUGGGAUAACUUCAGGAAACUGGGGCUAAUACCGGAUAGGAGCUCCUGCUGCAUGGUGGGGGUUGGAAAGUUUCGGCGGUUGGGGAUGGACUCGCGGCUUAUCAGCUUGUUGGGGGGGGAGUGGCUUACCAAGGCUUUGACGGGUAGCCGGCCUGAGAGGGUGACCGGGAACCUUGGGACUAAGAUACGGCGCAGCCGCCAACGGGAGGCAGCGGGGGGGAGUAUGGCACAAUGGGCGGGAGGCUGAUGAAGAAACCCCGCGUGCGGGAAGAGGGCUUACGGGUUAUAAACCGCUGUCGCCUGUGACGAAGCGUGAGUGACGGUAAUGGGAAAAAAAGCACCGGCUAACUACGUG